Molecule: ribosomal RNA, 567 nt
Filed under: uncultured bacterium
Lineage: Bacteria
Description: partial 16S ribosomal RNA
Rfam family: Bacterial small subunit ribosomal RNA
Source: RNAcentral
UGGGGAAUAUUGCACAAUGGGCGCAAGCCUGAUGCAGCCAUGCCGCGUGUGUGAAGAAGGCCUCGGGUUGUAAAGCACUUUCAGCGAGGAGGAAGGUGGUGAACUUAAUACGUUCAUCAAUUGACGUUACUCGCAGAAGAAGCACCGGCUAACUCCGUGCCAGCAGCCGCGGUAAUACGGAGGGUGCAAGCGUUAAUCGGAAUUACUGGGCGUAAAGCGCACGCAGGCGGUUUGUUAAGUCAGAUGUGAAAUCCCCGGGCUCAACCUGGGAACUGCAUUUGAAACUGGCAAGCUAGAGUCUCGUAGAGGGGGGUAGAAUUCCAGGUGUAGCGGUGAAAUGCGUAGAGAUCUGGAGGAAUACCGGUGGCGAAGGCGGCCCCCUGGACGAAGACUGACGCUCAGGUGCGAAAGCGUGGGGAGCAAAACAGGAUUAGAUACCCUGGUAGUCCACGCUGUAAAACGAUGUCGAUUUUGGAGGUUGUGCCCUUGAGGCGUGGCUUCCGGAGCUAACGCGUUAAAUCGACCGCCUGGGGAGUACGGCCGCAAGGUUAAAACUUAAAGGAAUUG